UACGGGAGGGGCAAGCGUUGUUCGGAAUCAUUGGGCGUAAAGGGCGCGUAGGGGGUUCUGUAUGUCUGACGUGAAAGCAUACAGCUCAACUGUAUUUUGUCGGUAGAAACUGCAGGACUUGAGGCUGGGAGGGGCUGGUGGAAUUCCCUGUGUAGCGGUGAAAUGCGUAGAGAUGGGGGGGAACACUCGUGGCGAAGGCGGCCAGCUAGACCAGUUCUGACACUGAGGCGCGACAGCGUGGGGAGCAAACAGG
Molecule: ribosomal RNA, 253 nt
Filed under: uncultured bacterium
Lineage: Bacteria
Description: partial 16S ribosomal RNA
Rfam family: Bacterial small subunit ribosomal RNA
Source: RNAcentral